This 236-nucleotide ribosomal RNA is filed under the name uncultured Actinomycetales bacterium. RNAcentral describes it as "partial 16S ribosomal RNA". It matches the Rfam family "Bacterial small subunit ribosomal RNA", at positions 97 to 334 of the family's 1533-position model. Lineage: Bacteria; Bacillati; Actinomycetota; Actinomycetes; Actinomycetales. The record is from RNAcentral.
GGCGAACGGGUGAGUAACACGUGGGUGAUCUGCCCCUUACUUUGGGAUAAGCCUGGGAAACUGGGUCUAAUACUGGAUAGGACCAUGCUGUAGGUGGUGUGGUGGAAAGAUUAGUUUCGGUAAGGGACGAGCUCGCGGCCUAUCAGCUUGUUGGUGGGGUAAUGGCCUACCAAGGCGUCGACGGGUAGCCGGCCUGAGAGGGUGGACGGCCACAUUGGGACUGAGAUACGGCCCAG